Molecule: small nucleolar RNA, 135 nt
Organism: Choloepus hoffmanni (Hoffmann's two-fingered sloth)
Lineage: Eukaryota; Metazoa; Chordata; Mammalia; Pilosa; Megalonychidae
Gene: SNORA70
Rfam family: Small nucleolar RNA SNORA70
About the family: snoRNA U70 seems to be exclusive to mammals and is a member of the H/ACA class of snoRNA which contain H (ANANNA) and ACA box motifs.
Source: Ensembl
CUGCAGCAGUUAAGCUGACUUGCCCACCUCCCUGGUGCGGGCCUAGUGUGCAGCCACUGCAAAAAGCAGACUCCUUGGUUGUGUGUGCAAAUCAUUCCUUGUAUGUGCUGUUUUAAGGAACCUUUGGAGACAUCU